AGGACGAACGCUGGCGGCGUGCUUAACACAUGCAAGUCGAGCGGAAAGGCCCUUCGGGGUACUCGAGCGGCGAACGGGUGAGUAACACGUGAGCAACCUGCCCUUAGCUCCGGGAUAGCUCCGGGAAACCGGAAUUAAUACCGGAUAUGACCUAGGCCGACAUCGGCUGUGGUGGAAAGUUUUUCGGCUGGGGAUGGACUCGCGGCCUAUCAGCUUGUUGGUGGGGUAAUGGCCUACCAAGGCGACGACGGGUAGCCGGCCUGAGAGGGCGACCGGCCACACUGGGACUGAGACACGGCCCAGACUCCUACGGGAGGCAGCAGUGGGGAAUCUUGCGCAAUGGGCGAAAGCCUGACGCAGCGACGCCGCGUGGGGGAUGAAGGCCUUCGGGUUGUAACCCCUUUCAGCAGGGACGAAGCGAAAGUGACGGUACCUGCAGAAGAAGCGCCGGCUAACGUACGUGCCAGCAGCCGC
This 474-nucleotide ribosomal RNA is filed under the name uncultured bacterium. Its description in RNAcentral is "SSU rRNA". It matches the Rfam family "Bacterial small subunit ribosomal RNA", at positions 26 to 518 of the family's 1533-position model. The record is from RNAcentral.